UUUACUUAGAGUUUGAUCCUAGCUCAGGGUGAAUGCUGGCGGUAUGGAUAAGGCAUGCAAGUCGAGUGGGUUUAGACCCACGGCAGACGAGGUAGUAACAGGUAGGUACGUCCCCAGAAGUCGGGCAUAACCGGUCGAAAGAUCGGAUAAUUCCCGAUAUUGCCGAGCACCAUUUAGCGACAUGGAAAUUUCGUGUCACGAAAUGGUGCUCGGUGAAAGAUUUAUCGCUUCUGGAGCGGCCUGCUUUGUAUCAGCUAGUUGGUGAGGUAAUGGCUCACCAAGGCUAUGACGCGUAGGGGAGCUGAGAGGCUGACCCCCACCGAUGAGACUGAGACACGGCUCAUACCCCUACGGGGGGCCGCAGCCGAGAAUAUUCGACAAUGGGCGAAAGCCUGAUCGAGCGAUACCGCGUGGUGGAUGAAGCGCUUCGGCGCGUAAACAUCUUUUAUGAGGGAGGAAGUUAUUGACGUUACCUCAUGAAUAAGGGGCUCCUAACUCUGUGCCAGCAGGAGCGGUAAUACAGAGGCCCCAAGCGUUACCCGGAAUUACUGGGCGUAAAGAGUGCGUAGGUGGUCGUGUUAGUCGUUUGUUAAAUCCCCCGGCUCAACCGGGGAGAUGCGGGCGAAACGGCACGACUCGAGGGCGUGAGAGGUACAUGGAACUCAUGG
RNAcentral lists this ribosomal RNA (668 nucleotides) under Candidatus Uhrbacteria bacterium. RNAcentral describes it as "bacterial SSU rRNA". It matches the Rfam family "Bacterial small subunit ribosomal RNA", at positions 1 to 673 of the family's 1533-position model. The record is from RNAcentral. Lineage: Bacteria; Candidatus Uhriibacteriota.